RNAcentral lists this ribosomal RNA (447 nucleotides) under uncultured bacterium. RNAcentral describes it as "bacterial SSU rRNA". It matches the Rfam family "Bacterial small subunit ribosomal RNA", at positions 331 to 794 of the family's 1533-position model. The record is from RNAcentral.
CCAGACUCCUACGGGAGGCAGCAGUGGGGGAUAUUGCACAAUGGGGGAAACCCUGAUGCAGCGACGCCGCGUGAGUGAGGAAGUAUUUCGGUAUGUAAAGCUCUAUCAGCAGGGAAGAAAAAAGACGGUACCUGACUAAGAAGCCCCGGCUAACUACGUGCCAGCAGCCGCGGUAAUACGUAGGGGGCAAGCGUUAUCCGGAUUUACUGGGUGUAAAGGGAGCGUAGACGGCAAUACAAGUCGGAAGUGAAAUACCCGGGCUUAACCUGGGAACUGCUUUGGAAACUGUGCAGCUAGAGUGCAGGAGAGGUAAGUGGAAUUCCUAGUGUAGCGGUGAAAUACGUAGAUAUUAGGAGGAACACCAGUGGCGAAGGCGGCUUACUGGACUGUAACUGACGUUGAGGCUCGAAAGCGUGGGGAGCAAACAGGAUUAGAUACCCGCGUAAU